Suncus etruscus (white-toothed pygmy shrew) is the source of this 104-nucleotide small nuclear RNA. The record is from RefSeq and is a predicted model, not a curated record. NCBI's taxonomy places the organism in Eukaryota, Metazoa, Chordata, Mammalia, Eulipotyphla, Soricidae.
UUAAUGUUACAUGGUUAGAUUUAAUUAAAAACAUGAUACAGAGAAGAUUAGCAUGGCUCCUGUACAAAGAUAACACACAAAUUCGUGAAGCAUUCCAUAUUUUA